UAGCCAUCUAUAAAGCAGGGAUUGUAAUAAACCUUUCUCAGCAUUGCAGUGAGGAGUCCAUCAGGACACUGGUACAACAAUAGCAGCUCAUGUUAGCAUUAGCUGCUGGGAUCCUGGUGCUACGCAUUAGUCUAAGCAUCCCUUGCAUUACCUUUCUCAAUCUACACCACAGCUUCAAGAGGGAGGGACUAAUUGCAUCACAGAAGAGGAAACUGAAGUACAAAAGUCAGGUAACCAGCUUUCCCAGACAGAAAGGGGCAAUGGAACCCACAAAGCCUGAGUCUCUAACCAUGAACCUCUCCUGCCUCGUGUGGCUCCCACUACCUUGGAAGUGAUGGCUAGGAUAACAAUGAUGAUUUAUGAACCAGAUAGAACAUCCAGAAACUUGGUUAUUGUACAGACAAAUCCUAAGUGACCCAGGCAGAUGGGUGUUCUAAGCAACAGUGCAGAAGCUGCUGUCAGAGCUGGCUGAGGGGCUCUGAGGUACAAGGCUCCAUCUCAGGGACCUUGCAUCAGAGAUGUCAUGAGAGGCUCGUUGGGCCCACCUUGAAGAUUCUUGCCUAGAAUCCCAGUCCUGGGCUCUACACAGCUGGCACUGGAGAAUUCUUGUCAGGUCUAAGAAGGGUAAGAUUGCAACAAGAGCAGGGCUCUUGGUGGUUCAAGAGGAAGUGGGGUGCAGGCUACUUUGGGGGAGGGCAGGGGGACCUGAGAGACACAGUGGAGCCUUGUCCUGCCUUUUUUUUUUUUUCUUUUUAAGGCUUCACUUUGGCAUAUGGAAGUUCCUAGCCUAGAGGUCAAAUCAGAGCUGCAGCUGCUGGCCUACGCUAUAGCCAGAGCAACGCCAGAUCUGAGCCACAUCUGCCACCUACACCACAGCUCAUGGCAACACUGGAUCCUUAACCCACUGAGUGAGGCCAGGAAUCGAAACCACAUCCUCAUGGACACUAUAUUGGGUUCUUAACCCGCUUAGCAACAAUAGGAACUCCCUUGCCUUGCCUUCUUGAGGCCCAGCUGGCAAUCCUUUUGUCUAUCCUAAAUCACCCUUCCAAAAAGCAGGCCAGGCUCCUCACCCUUCUGUGAUGCUCACUGGGGCCUGGGGCUUUCGCUGGCAGUGGGGGUCCCUGAGGUUGUUUGGCGUUGAGCUGCAGGAAUUGCUAGUAGCAGAUGGAGGCAGAGCCAUUUAAAACUGACCCUUAUAAGUGAGAGCAACACAAAGGGAGGGGGUCUUUCUAGUAGGCGUGGUGUAGGCCACGACCCAGGCCCAAAUCUGGGCAUGUGUGAUCCAAUGUGAUAAGAAUUCUGGUACAAGGAGAGCUGAGACAUUUGUUGGUAGAGGACAUUUGGAGUUUCCAACUAUAGUAAGCAGAGGUACAUUUUCCUCUAAACUAGUGACCCCCAUCUUCCUCAAGAUGCUGUGACAUCUUCCUCCAAAAUGCGUUCUCUCUCCUGAUGAGAAAUGGAGAAAACCAGGCCUGAGAGGUCAUUUCAUGACAACCGAAAAGUCUGUGGCUUCUCCCUAUGCCAGAGUCAGGAUGUGUAGACCCCAGCCUCAUCAGGUCUAUAAGAAAGACUAGAAACCAUGGCUCUGGGAGACACGGCUGUGGGCACCAGGGUGGGCACACCCCGUAGGCAGGCAGUUGUCUGUCACAGCCUACUACUGCCACCAAAACAAUCCAUGUCACUGAGAAUGGCAGCUGCACAGGAUUUCCAUAGUGGAAGCAGGAUGGGACAAGCACCUCAGGGUGACAGGCUGACUACUUCCCCCAGGACAACUGCAGAUUCAGUCUGCCUCCCCAGAUGGCUCCGCUCAGUCUGCAGAGAACUUGAUUCCUCUGCCUUUCUCUUUCUUGGGGAAAUUGCAGCUUUCAGAACCUCCUCAAGAGGGGAGAAAAGGCCAGCCCAGGCUUGAGAAUUGACCCUGGAGUGUGACCAGGAGAGAGUUCUUCAUGUUUACCUGUUUCUGUUCCGGUAGCUCCAGGCCACAGACCAUGGGUGCCCCGAUUGCUGAUGAAGAGCUGCUUGCUCCUCCAGAAGGUCCCCAGCCCCAGGUUUGAAGCACCACAGGACUCCUUCCUGUGGCUCUGAGAAGGGGGCGGGUGCCCUAACUACCUCUCCUCCCUACUAAAACGCCAGCUUCAUGAGGGCUGGGGUUUUUCUCUGUUUGGUUCACUGUUGAAUCCCUCAAACCUAGAAGAGUGCUUGGUUCAUAGUAGAAGCACAAUAAAUCAUCCUAGAUUGAGUGAAUAUGGAUAAAAACUGAGCUUCUUCAAGUAGAGUUAAUGGUUACAAAUCUUUAGACAUUAAACAGGUAAAUCUGAUAUACCUAAAUCAAAAGCUGUUAUAAAUGUGAGAAUGUGGUGAAAUAAGCAGAGGUAAAUGUUAAAUAUGGGAGAAUUAAAAUCCUCUUAAAGAAAUUGAUAGGUUGAGUAGACAAAACAUAAAUGAGGAUGUAGGUCAUCUGAAUACUGAAAAUUACAAGCCUAAUCUAAUAAAUAUGCCUAUGGAACAUUUAUAAAAAGGGAGCAUACACUAGGCCACAAAGAAAAUCUCAGUAAAUUCCAAGAAAUUAGGACAUAUUAUUUGAUACCGGUUUCUACUUUUCUUUGUGUAAGCUAGGAAAACCCUUAAACAAAGAAUACAAAUACAUACAAAAAACCCCCAAUAAUACACAUACACACAUAUGUAUAUAUACACACAUACAUAUAUAUACAUAUAUGUACAUGUAUGUGUACAUAAAUAUAUACACACCUAUAUAUGUCAACUGUCUGUGUGUGUGUGUAUAUAUAUAUAGCUAUAGAUGCAAAAUAUCAAGAAAUAAACUGCCAGGAAAUCAAAUCCAGGAAAAUAUUAAAAGAAUACCAUAGUCAAAUAGGUUUCUAUUCAAAAUGCAAAGAUAAUUGAUUGUAAGGAAAUUGUUAACAUAAUUUAUGAUGCUGACAGAUAAAAGGAUAAGAUUUUUUUUUUUUUUGUCUUUUUGCCUUUCCUAGUGCCACUCCCACGGCAUGUGGAGGCUCCCAGGCUAGGGGUCUAAUCAGAGCUGUAGCUGCCGGCCUACUCCAGAGCCACAGCAACACGGGAUCCAAGCCGCAUCUGCGACCUACACCACAGCUCACGGCAACGUUGGAUCCUUAACCCACCGAGCAAGACCAAGGAUCGAACCUGCAACCUCAUGGUUCGUAGCCGGAUUCGUUAACCACUGAGCCACGAUGAGAACUCCAAAAGGAUAAGAUUUUUAUUAACAUUUUGGUAGAUGCUGAAAACCCAUUUGACAAGAUUCACUAUCCACCCCUAAUUUAGAAAAUAACCCCUGAUGAUUUGGAAUUAAGGGAAAUUUCUUUCACUUUAUAAAAGGUAAUUAUCAGAAAUCAACAACAAGAAACUUAAAGCAAAACUGGAAAUAAUUAUACAUUAAUGCCAGGAACAAGACAAGCUUGACAGAUCUCAUUAAUACUAGUUAACAUUGUUCUGGAGAUCUACCAAUACAAUAAUAAAAGAAAAAGAAAGAAGGUACAUAUUCCAGAAAAGAACAUUGUAGUUAUCAUUACUUGCAAAUUUUGUUUAUCCAGAAAACCCAAUGCAAUUAACUAGGAAAAAAAUAAGAACUCGAGUCUUAUGUAUGUAUUCAAUAAAGACUCAAUAUCAUGUAUUAAAUACAUGAUACAUGAUAAAUAUGCAAAAUUCAUAGCUAUCUAUAAUGUCAUAGUAUCUUAUUAAAGAAUAUACUAUUUCCAGAGUUUCCGCCAUGGCUCAGCGGAAACAAAUCUGACUAGUAUCCGUGAGGACACAUUUUCAAUCCCUGGCCUCGUUCAGUGGGUUAAAGAUCCAGCAUUGCCGUGAGCUGUGGUGUGGGUCAUACACGAGGCUCCGAUCUGGCAUUUCUGUGGCUGUGGUGUAGGCCAGAGGCUACAGAUCCUCUUCAACCUCUAGCCUGGGAACCUCCAUAUGCCAAGGGUGCGGCCCUAAAAAAGCAAACAAAAAAAGAAUAUAAUGUUUCCAUUUAAAAGAGGCACAUUCAAUGCACACAUUCGUGUCUGUUUUCUCUGAAAAUCUGCUAUAAUGAUAGUAAAGGAAUAAAAAUAAGAAAAACCUGUAACGACAAAGAGGAUGGAAGAAGAAUCAAGAGUAGACAAGAAAUUGCAACAAAAAUUGGAAGGUGGUAGUGGGUGGAUGAAUGGUAACUGACUCAACAAAACUGAGAAAAUGGAAAUAUAAUUGGAAGCAGUGGGAUGGGGGGGAAUAAGCAUCAGUUCAACCUUGGUAAAUUCACAACCGGGAUCACAAGUACCUCUAAAGGCAAGGGUGCAGGGUAGACUAAAAAUGGGGGGACCAGUUGAAAGUUCUGUGAAGACAUUUAGAACGUACCCAUCCUCUCCUCACCUCCUGUAACUAGGCAACCCGACAACUGCCUGCACUGCAGAAGGGCAGUCUAUAUCCAGCGAGGUCUGCACAGCCAGACUGAAUGCUGGGGGAUUCGGGGACAAUUUCUGUAACAGACAGUGAGAUGACCAGGCCCCUUUCCCCUCUGGGGCCUGUAAAAUACUGGCUGCUGAGCUUCUAUUUCCCAAAUAUUUGGAGAAUGCCUUUCUCAGGAGCCCUCCAUGGCCACUGGAUUAACUGAAACCGAAAAUGCAGAGAUGCUCCAGUGAGAACUCCAGCUAACCGCCUUAUGCCCUUCAGCAAAAUCCACCAAUCACCAAGCCCCGCUCAGCAACAUAUAUGUAAAAAUUUUUGAAAAAGUUAAAAGGGAACUUUCCCUACUGGAUAACAAAAUAUAUUAUAAAACUACAAUAAUUAGAGUUUCUAUUGUAGCUCAGUGGUAACGAACCUGACUAGUACCAUGAGGAUGCUGGUUUGAUCCCUGGCCUCGCUCAGCAGGUUAAGGAUCCAGCGUUGCCGUGAGCUGUGAUGUAGGUUGCAGAUUCGCCUUGGAUCUGGCAUUGCUGUGGCUGUGGCAUAGGCUGGCAGCUAUAGCUCUGAUUCGACCCCUAGCCUGGUAACUUCCAUAUGCCAUGGGUACAGCC
This 5021-nucleotide long non-coding RNA is filed under the name Sus scrofa (pig). Its description in RNAcentral is "lncRNA (ENSSSCG00000057090.1)". Lineage: Eukaryota; Metazoa; Chordata; Mammalia; Artiodactyla; Suidae. The record is from RNAcentral.